AAUAUUGCGCAAUGGGGGGAACCCUGACGCAGCAACGCCGCGUGAGCGAAGAAGGNCUNNGGGUCNUNAAGCUCUGUCAUUAGNNNNNAAAAAAAUGACGGUACCUAAUGAGGAAGCCCCGGCUAACUACGUGCCAGCAGCCGCGGUAAUACGUAGGGGGCAAGCGUUGUCCGGAAUUACUGGGCGUAAAGGGUGCGUAGGCGGCCUGAUAAGUCAGAUGUGAAAUACCAGGGCUCAACCUUGGGGGUGCAUUUGAAACUGUUAGGCUUGAGUGCAGGAGAGGAAAGUGGAAUUCCUAGUGUAGCGGUGAAAUGCGUAGAGAUUAGGAGGAACACCAGUGGCGAAGGCGACUUUCUGGACUGUAACUGACGCUGAGGCACGAAAGCGUGGGGAGCGAAC
RNAcentral lists this ribosomal RNA (399 nucleotides) under uncultured bacterium. Its description in RNAcentral is "partial 16S ribosomal RNA". It matches the Rfam family "Bacterial small subunit ribosomal RNA", at positions 360 to 773 of the family's 1533-position model. The record is from RNAcentral.